UAGCAUAUUCAUUUGACGUUAGCUGCAGAAGAAGCACCGGCUAACUCCGUGCCAGCAGCCGCGGUAAUACGGAGGGUGCGAGCGUUAAUCGGAAUUACUGGGCGUAAAGCGCAUGCAGGUGGUUUGUUAAGUCAGAUGUGAAAGCCCGGGGCUCAACCUCGGAAUUGCAUUUGAAAACUGGCAAACUAGAGUACUGUAGAGGGGGUAGAAUUUCAGGUGUAGCGGUGAAAUGCGUAGAGAUCUGAAGGAAUACCGGUGGCGAAGGCGGCCCCCUGGACAGAUACUGACACUCAGAUGCGAAAGCGUGGGGAGCAAACAGGAUUAGAUACCCUGGUAG
This 337-nucleotide ribosomal RNA is filed under the name uncultured bacterium. Its description in RNAcentral is "bacterial SSU rRNA". It matches the Rfam family "Bacterial small subunit ribosomal RNA", at positions 457 to 793 of the family's 1533-position model. The record is from RNAcentral.